GAUGAAGAACGUAGUGAAAUGCGAUAAGUAAUGUGAAUUGCAGAAUUCAGUGAAUCAUCGAGUCUUUGAACGCACAUUGCGCCCCCUGGUAUUCCGGGGGGCAUGCCUGUCCGAGCGUCAUUGCCGCCCUCAAGCACGGCUUGUGUGUUGGGCCCCCGCCCCCCGGCUUCGGGGGGCGGGCCCGAAAGGCAGCGGCGGCACCGCGUCCGGUCCUCGAGCGUAUGGGGCUUCGUCACCCGCUCUGUAGGCCCGGCCGGCGCCCGCCGGCGACCCCAAUCAAUCUUUCCAGGUUGACCUCGGAUCGGGUAGGGAUACCCGCUGAACUUAAGCAUAUCAAUAAGCGGAGGA
This 348-nucleotide unclassified non-coding RNA is filed under the name soil metagenome. RNAcentral describes it as "partial contains 5.8S ribosomal RNA, internal transcribed spacer 2, and large subunit ribosomal RNA". The stretch from base 1 to 120 matches the Rfam family "5.8S ribosomal RNA", at positions 35 to 154 of the family's 154-position model. The record is from RNAcentral.